This 440-nucleotide ribosomal RNA is filed under the name uncultured bacterium. RNAcentral describes it as "partial 16S ribosomal RNA". It matches the Rfam family "Bacterial small subunit ribosomal RNA", at positions 338 to 795 of the family's 1533-position model. The record is from RNAcentral.
CCUACGGGUGGCAGCAGUGGGGAAUAUUGCUCAAUGGGGGCAACCCUGAUGCAGCGACGCCGCGUGAGUGAAGAAGUAUCUCGGUACGUAAAGCUCCAUUAGCAGGGAAGAAAAUGACGGUACCUGACUAAGAAGCCCCGGCUAACUACGUGCCAGCAGCCGCGGUAACACGUAGGGGGCAAGCGUUAUCCGGAUUUACUGGGGUUAAAGGGAGCGUAGUCGGCAGCACAGGUCAGGGGUGAAAUCCCGGGGCUUAACCCCGGAACUGCAUUGGAAACUGGGCGGCUGGAGUGCAGGAGGGGUAAGCGGAAUGCAUGGUGUAGCGGUGAAAUGCAUAGAUAUUAGGAGGAACACCGGUGGCGAAGGCAGCUUACUGGACUGCAACUGACGUUGAGGCACGAAAGUGUGGGGAGCAAACAGGAUUAGAUACCCUUGUAGUC